This 324-nucleotide ribosomal RNA is filed under the name uncultured Bacteroidota bacterium. RNAcentral's name for it is "bacterial SSU rRNA". It matches the Rfam family "Bacterial small subunit ribosomal RNA", at positions 28 to 351 of the family's 1533-position model. Lineage: Bacteria; Pseudomonadati; Bacteroidota. The record is from RNAcentral.
GAUGAACGCUAGCGGCAGGCUUAACACAUGCAAGUCGAGGGGUAACAGGGUGCUUGCACCGCUGACGACCGGCGCACGGGUGCGUAACGCGUAUACAAUCUACCUUUUACAGAGAGAUACCCCAGAGAAAUUUGGAAUAAUACCUCAUAAUAUUUUUGCUCGGCAUCGAGUGACAAUUAAAGUUUCGGCGGUAAAAGAUGAGUAUGCGUCCUAUUAGCUAGUUGGUAAGGUAACGGCUUACCAAGGCAACGAUAGGUAGGGGUCCUGAGAGGGAGAUCCCCCACACUGGUACUGAGACACGGACCAGACUCCUACGGGUGGCAG